ACCCCGAGGAGUGCGGCCAUAAUAGUCCUCCACCAUCGCUGCUGUGAGCGAGGAAUAACAUGGCCGCAGCCCCCAUUACUUCGUGUGCGCACCGUCGGGUUCGAUGGCAAGGAGCUGCAACGACCAUGACACCGCCGGAUUCAAUGGUGAGGAGCUGCACCAACAAAUUCUACAACCUAGGUACGCUGCCCAUGCUCUCUGCCAUCUUCAAAUCUGCGUAUGACGCCUUCACCUCUCGGCUGCCCGAUGGCACUGAACCCAUAUCCGACCUAUACGACCCCGCCGUCGCAGGAUUCACAGACGAGGAGCCGCGACGACCUUGCCGCUGUUGGGUUCGAUGGCAAGAAUCUGCAGCAGCCCCUUCUGCGAUUGGAGCUCCGCUACCCUCGCUCCCUCCCGCAUCAUUCAAAUCUCGCCAGAUGUGUCACAAAGAAAAGGUGGGGGAAAAGAUGAUAUUUUGUUUUCCUGCUGCAUAAUUGAUUUGAAUCGAAAUUUGUCUGAGUGUUAAUGAAUAGUGAGCAUCUGACAUUUGUUAGGAUGAUAGUUCAUGUAAUUGGUAUUGUCUGAAGAGGUUGUAUUCCAAAAAAAUCAUCAUGAGAUUUUGGGCGUUGCAUACAUGAUUGUAGUACAAUUAUGAACGAAAAGUGAUUGUGCUUUCUUUAUUUCUUUGGUUCAUUACAGUUAUGACCUACACAACAGAUAAUUGUAUCAGCAUGCUUUUGACUGUGUUAUCCCUUCAUUGUUGUAUAGAUAGGAUGUUGACAGGG
This 767-nucleotide long non-coding RNA is filed under the name Triticum aestivum (bread wheat). RNAcentral describes it as "long non-coding RNA (TAES_LNC008484)". The record is from RNAcentral. Lineage: Eukaryota; Viridiplantae; Streptophyta; Magnoliopsida; Poales; Poaceae.